Molecule: ribosomal RNA, 253 nt
Filed under: uncultured bacterium
Lineage: Bacteria
Description: partial 16S ribosomal RNA
Rfam family: Bacterial small subunit ribosomal RNA
Source: RNAcentral
UACGAAGGGGGCUAGCGUUGUUCGGAUUUACUGGGCGUAAAGCGCACGUAGGCGGAUCGAUCAGUCAGGGGUGAAAUCCCAGAGCUCAACUCUGGAACUGCCUUUGAUACUGUCGAUCUGGAGUAUGGAAGAGGUGAGUGGAAUUCCAAGUGUAGAGGUGAAAUUCGUAGAUAUUCGGAGGAACACCAGUGGCGAAGGCGGCUCACUGGUCCAUUACUGACGCUGAGGUGCGAAAGCGUGGGGAGCAAACAGG